CUUUCCUUUCGAUGCCAGUUUUCUUCCUUGUUUACACAAGUUCAAUAAUUCUAAAGGAAAAGGCAAUAUGAUUGGCAAUGAUUGGCCUAUACAUAACAACUUUGACAUUGAUGAAGUUCAGCUUGAUCCAAGAGCUCUGUCUGAUGCCACUGAUGAAGAAGUACAGGUCGACCCCUGAAAAUAUUUGGAUGGAGAUCAGGAAAAGUAUCUGGAGGAUCCUGCUUUUGUACCAAUUACUCUACUGAGCCUUGUUGGCAGUACCCAGAUGAUCAUGAAAACAAAUAUUGUGAUCUGGAGUGUAGCCAUACUUGUAACUACAAAACGAGGUCAUCAUCAUAUUUAGAUAACUUAGUUUGGAGACACAGAGUGAACCAUUACUGUGAACCCAACCUUAUUAUAGAUCUUUCCAAUUGGAAAGAACAAGCAAAGAAAAAUCUGAUAAGGCAAAUCAAAACGUGAAAGGAAUGGAUUGGUUAAAGCCCAGACAGCACUAGAGGAAGCAUCACAGCAAGUGGCUGGAAAAGACAGAGAAAAGAAUCAGGGAUUUGAUUUUGAUUCCUUUAUUGCAGGAACUAUUCAACUUAGUUCCCAACAUGAGCCUACUGAUGUUGUUGAUAAAUUAAAUGACUUGAAUAGCUCAGUGUCCCAACUAGAAUUGAAAAGUUUGAUAUCAAAGUCAGUAAGCCAAGAAAAACAGGAAAAAGGAAUGGCAAAUCUGGCUCAAUUAGAAACCUUGUACCAGUCUUCUUGGGACAGCCAGUUUGUGAGUGGUGGGGAGGACUGUUAUCUCAUCAAUCAGUUGUGUGAGGUAAGGAAGGAUGAACAAGUUGAGAAGGAAAACACUUACACUCGUUACUUGGACAAGUUCUUUAGCAGGAAGGAAGAUACUGAAAUGCUAGAAACUGAGCCAGUAGAGAAUGGAGAGCUUGGGGAGAGAGGAAAUGAGGAAGGAUUUCUGAACAACAGUGGGAAGUUCCUUUUUAACAAGCAGCUGGAGUCCAUAGACAUCCCACAGUUUCGCAGUCCAGUUAGGUCACCACUUAAGUCAAUACAGGCCACAUUAACACCUUCUGCUAUGAAAUCUUCCCCUCAAAUUCCUCAUAAAACAUACAGCAGCAUUCUGAAACAUCUGAACUAAAACACUCAGCAGACAUUUAUCUUUGUAUUCUUCAUGAAAUGUGUUUUGUCUUUUUUUAUUACUAUGUUUAAGUCAUUUUUUACUUGAAUCAGAUGGUGUCAUUUAGUAAGGAUUUUAUUAGUUCUCGGUUUUUAAAAUCCAGACUUUCUUUUUCUACAUGUGAGAUAGUUUUUAUUUUAACUGGCAUGUCAUUUGCACACAAAAAUAAAGACUAGAGCAAAAUAAUGCAACGCAGGAGGAGAAAAGAAAUGCACUAAGACAAGUAAAGAACAUUCUCUCAUAGAACAGUGAUCUGUUUUACAGGAAACAAACCUUGCCUUGAAAUUUACACAGUGAGACUGUACAUAAUUGCAUGAAAAUAGCUAUUUUUUUCUAAGACAUUUUUCAUUCAUGAGUAUUUUCAAGUUUUUCAUAGUGUACACUUUUCUUAAAACACAUAAUACCAGCAGCAACUGAAAAUGAAUGCCAAAUUUGGUACGCAUGUGUUAUCUACCUCAAGGUAACAAGAGUAUGUGGCAAAACAUAUACCACCAUAGUGCUUCACAAUAUGUACUUCUAUUUAGCCAGGGUUUAUUGUAGUAAACUAUUCUUAAUAAGACUCAUUCACUGUUUAUAAAUGUUCUGGUGUGCAUUCUUUAUAGUGAAGUGUUAAUACAUCGCAUCUUACUUAUUUUAGUAAAUCAGUAUAUUUUCUGCAUUUAAUUAUAAAAAUUAACUUAGUUUUUAAAAUUUAUUUGCAAAUACACUUUUUCCAUUUGGCACUAUGGUCUGUUGCCUUCCUAGCUGAAUCUA
Chlorocebus sabaeus (green monkey) is the source of this 1930-nucleotide non-coding RNA. Lineage: Eukaryota; Metazoa; Chordata; Mammalia; Primates; Cercopithecidae. The record is from RefSeq and is a predicted model, not a curated record.